RNAcentral lists this ribosomal RNA (423 nucleotides) under uncultured Geobacter sp. RNAcentral's name for it is "bacterial SSU rRNA". It matches the Rfam family "Bacterial small subunit ribosomal RNA", at positions 957 to 1382 of the family's 1533-position model. Lineage: Bacteria; Pseudomonadati; Thermodesulfobacteriota; Desulfuromonadia; Geobacterales; Geobacteraceae. The record is from RNAcentral.
CAACGCGAAAACCUUACCUACCCUUGACAUGUCCGGAAUCCUGCAGAGAUGCGGAGUGCCGAAAGGGAAUCGGAACACAGGUGCUGCAUGGCUGUCGUCAGCUCGUGUCGUGAGAUGUUGGGUUAAGUCCCGCAACGAGCGCAACCCUUAUCUUUAAUUGCCAUCAUUGAGUUGGGCACUUUAAAGAGACUGCCGGUGUUAAACCGGAGGAAGGUGGGGAUGACGUCAAGUCCUCAUGGCCCUUAUGUCCAGGGCUACACACGUGCUACAAUGGUCGGUACAAAGGGUUGCGAUCCCGCGAGGGUGAGCCAAUCCCAAAAAGCCGGCCCCAGUACAGAUAGGAGUCUGCAACUCGACUCCUUGAAGGCGGAAUCGCUAGUAAUCGCUGAUCAGCUGGCAGCGGUGAAUACGUUCCCGGGCCUU